RNAcentral lists this ribosomal RNA (300 nucleotides) under Triticum aestivum (bread wheat). RNAcentral's name for it is "partial small subunit ribosomal RNA". The record is from RNAcentral. Lineage: Eukaryota; Viridiplantae; Streptophyta; Magnoliopsida; Poales; Poaceae.
AUGGGCAAAGAAGACUCGCCAUGUUUCAUAAGGGAUGGUCUGAAAAGACUCUCAACCCUGCCAAUGCACAUAGAUGCGUGGAAGAAAUCAGCCACCCAAGUACCUACAAUGAUGUCUCUAAUCCGGGCCAAGGCUUAUGUGCUAGAAAUGGAUCCAUCUGAGAUGGCUGGCGGGUUUCAAUACGUAUGGUACUCGAUUCACGGCAAAGGACUAUGCCCGCUGCAUGAAAGAAACUCGUGUCUUGGUGAGUCAAUUGGUUCAAGGCCUCGAUCUGAAGAAAUAUCGGGCGGCUUACAAUGA